Molecule: ribosomal RNA, 628 nt
Filed under: uncultured fungus
Lineage: Eukaryota; Fungi
Description: eukaryotic LSU rRNA
Rfam family: Eukaryotic large subunit ribosomal RNA
Source: RNAcentral
ACCCGCUGAACUUAAGCAUAUCAAUAAGCGGAGGAAAAGAAACCAACAGGGAUUACCUCAGUAACGGCGAGUGAAGCGGUAAUAGCUCAAAUUUGAAAUCUGGCUCUUUCAGAGUCCGAGUUGUAAUUUGUAGAGGAUGUUUCGGGCACAGUUACGGUUUAAAUUUCUUGGAACAGAAUGUCAAAGAGGGUGAGAGUCCCGUCUUGAACCGAUUACUUCGUCCAUGUGAAACUCCUUCGACGAGUCGAGUUGUUUGGGAAUGCAGCUCAAAAUGGGUGGUAAAUUUCAUCUAAAGCUAAAUAUUGGCCAGAGACCGAUAGCGCACAAGUAGAGUGAUCGAAAGAUGAAAAGCACUUUGAAAAGAGAGUUAAACAGUAUGUGAAAUUGUUGAAAGGGAAGCGCUUGCAAUCAGACUUGAGCUUAACAGUUCCCCCUUCGUUCUCGUUGGGUUAUUCUGUUUUGUCCAGGCCAACAUCAGUUCGGGUGGUUGGUUAAAGACUUUAGGAAUGUAUCUACCCCUCGGGGUCGACUUAUAGCCUAGAGUGUCAUGCAGCCUACCUGGACUGAGGAACGCGCUUCGGCUCGGAUGUUGGCGUAAUGGUUGUAAGCGACCCGUCUUGAAACACGG